GAUGAACGCUGGCGGCGUGCCUAAUACAUGCAAGUCGAGCGAACGGACGAGAAGCUUGCUUCUCUGAUGUUAGCGGCGGACGGGCGAGUAACACGUGGAUAACCUACCUAUAAGACUGGGAUAACUUCGGGAAACCGGAGCUAACACCGGAUAAUAUUUUGAACCGCAUGGUUCAAAAGUGAAAGACGGUCUUGCUGUCACUUAUAGAUGGAUCCGCGCUGCAUUAGCUAGUUGGUAAGGUAACGGCUUACCAAGGCAACGAUGCAUAGCCGACCUGAGAGGGUGAUCAGCCACACUGGAACUGAGACACGGUCCAGACUCCUACGGGAGGCAGCAGUAGGGAAUCUUCCGCAAUGGGCGAAAGCCUGACGGAGCAACGCCGCGUGAGUGAUGAAGGUCUUCGGAUCGUAAAACUCUGUUAUUAGGGAAGAACAUAUGUGUAAGUAACUGUGCACAUCUUGACGGUACCUAAUCAGAAAGCCACGGCUAACUACGUG
This 497-nucleotide ribosomal RNA is filed under the name uncultured bacterium. Its description in RNAcentral is "partial 16S ribosomal RNA". It matches the Rfam family "Bacterial small subunit ribosomal RNA", at positions 28 to 507 of the family's 1533-position model. The record is from RNAcentral.